RNAcentral lists this ribosomal RNA (468 nucleotides) under uncultured bacterium. RNAcentral's name for it is "partial 16S ribosomal RNA". It matches the Rfam family "Bacterial small subunit ribosomal RNA", at positions 28 to 507 of the family's 1533-position model. The record is from RNAcentral.
GACGAGCGCUGGCGGCGUGCUUAACACAUGCAAGUCGAACGGAAAGGCCCUGCUUUUGUGGGGUGCUCGAGUGGCGAACGGGUGAGUAACACGUGAGUAACCUGCCCUUGACUUUGGGAUAACUUCAGGAAACUGGGGCUAAUACCGGAUAGGAGCUCCUGCUGCAUGGUGGGGGUUGGAAAGUUUCGGCGGUUGGGGAUGGACUCGCGGCUUAUCAGCUUGUUGGUGGGGUAGUGGCUUACCAAGGCUUUGACGGGUAGCCGGCCUGAGAGGGUGACCGGCCACAUUGGGACUGAGAUACGGCCCAGACUCCUACGGGAGGCAGCAGUGGGGAAUAUUGCACAACGGGCGGAAGCCUGAUGCAGCAACGCCGCGUGCGGGAUGACGGCCUUCGGGUUGUAAACCGCUUUCGCCUGUGACGAAGCGUGAGUGACGGUAAUGGGUAAAGAAGCACCGGCUAACUACGUG